RNAcentral lists this ribosomal RNA (497 nucleotides) under uncultured bacterium. RNAcentral describes it as "partial 16S ribosomal RNA". It matches the Rfam family "Bacterial small subunit ribosomal RNA", at positions 28 to 507 of the family's 1533-position model. The record is from RNAcentral.
GAUGAACGCUGGCGGCGUGCCUAAUACAUGCAAGUCGAGCGAACAGAUAAGGAGCUUGCUCCUUUGACGUUAGCGGCGGACGGGUGAGUAACACGUGGAUAACCUACCUAUAAGACUGGGAUAACUUCGGGAAACCGGAGCUAAUACCGGAUAACAUAUUGAACCGCAUGGUUCAAUAGUGAAAGGCGGCUUUGCUGUCACUUAUAGAUGGAUCCGCGCCGUAUUAGCUAGUUGGUAAGGUAACGGCUUACCAAGGCAACGAUACGUAGCCGGACUGAGAGGGUGAUCGGGCACACUGGAACUGAGAAAAGGUCCCGACUCCUAAGGGAAGGAGCAGGAGGGGAUCUUCCGCAAUGGGCGAAAGCCUGACGGAGCAACGCCGCGUGAGUGAUGAAGGUCUUCGGAUCGUAAAACUCUGUUAUCAGGGAAGAACAAAUGUGUAAGUAACUGUGCACAUCUUGAAGGUAACUGAUCAGAAAGCCAAGGCUAACUACGUG